Long non-coding RNA from Bactrocera neohumeralis, 720 nucleotides. RefSeq lists it as uncharacterized. The transcript has 4 exons. The record is from RefSeq and is a predicted model, not a curated record. NCBI's taxonomy places the organism in Eukaryota, Metazoa, Arthropoda, Insecta, Diptera, Tephritidae.
ACUUGUAUUAUGUGGCUGGCAUUCAGUACGAUAGGGAAAUUGAAUUUACAAAAGAAAAAAUAACUUCCAAGAUUAUAUGUUUGAAUGAAUCUUCUAGAAGUGGAUUUUAUUUCACACCACUAAUUAACUGAUUGACAUCAUGAGCUCUAUAAAUAAUUAUGGAUAUGAACCUAACAGCAGCCAAAUAAUAUAUCAAAAUCUAGACAGCACAGACCAACAGUCUCUUAAAAAUUUAAUAACCAUAUAUAAUUAAGUUGACGAUGGAAGUGCGGGCUUUAAAGACAGAAGUGAAGGAGCUAAAGGAAGAAAACAAAAGAAAUUUGUUGAAGCUGACACAGGAAGUUAUUGCGGUCAAAUUGGAAAACAGGGGAAAACCCUCUGAAAGUCAAAGUCCACAAUUCGACCAACUACCAUUUUACCAUAAGAAGGAUCUUGACGAUUUCGAAGCACAGCUUUUACAAAAGCCAGAGUUGAUGGAGAAAUUUAAACUACUGUCUUUUUCGUGGAGGGGCACGGCAGAUAAGCCAAGCGCGGAAAAAUGUUUAGUUACAACAAUAAUAAAAAUAUUUGCCAUGAAAUGUUUCAAGUGGACGAAAAAGCCGUUAGAUCAACAAUACAAAAACAUUUCGUUUAUGCAAACGAAAGAGUAAAAAAACGACGUCUACCUUUGGCUGAAAAUAAAUGAUUGUAUUGAGCUGUAAGGAAAAACAUGUUAAUGAA